Cynocephalus volans (Philippine flying lemur) is the source of this 104-nucleotide small nuclear RNA. Lineage: Eukaryota; Metazoa; Chordata; Mammalia; Dermoptera; Cynocephalidae. The record is from RefSeq and is a predicted model, not a curated record.
GUGCUUGCGUCAGCAGCACACUCACCAAAAUUGGAGCUGUACAGAGAUUAGCAUGGCCCCUGCGCAAAGAUGACAUGCAAAUUCAUGAAGCGUUCAAUGUUUGU